UACCCGCAGCUCAAGUGGUGGUCAUUAUUAUUGGGCCUAAAGCGUCCGUAGCUGGCCUGUUAGAUGCCUGGGUAAAUCGAUGCGCUCAACGUAUCGAAUUCCGGGUAGACCGGCAGGCUCGAGACCGGGAGAGGUGUAGGCUACUCGAGGGGUAGGGGUAAAAUCCUGUAAUCCUUCGGGGAGGACCAGUGGCGAAGGCGCUACACUAGAACGGCUCUGACAGCGAGGGACGAAGCCCUGGGGCGCAAACCGG
This 253-nucleotide ribosomal RNA is filed under the name uncultured bacterium. Its description in RNAcentral is "partial 16S ribosomal RNA". It matches the Rfam family "Archaeal small subunit ribosomal RNA", at positions 474 to 727 of the family's 1478-position model. The record is from RNAcentral.